Molecule: transfer RNA, 65 nt
Filed under: Brachymeria sp. ZJUH_2016006
Lineage: Eukaryota; Metazoa; Arthropoda; Insecta; Hymenoptera; Chalcididae
Description: tRNA-Trp
Source: RNAcentral
AAAAUUUUAAGUUAAAAAAACUUUAAACCUUCAAAGUUUAAUAUAUAUAUCAUAAUAUAAAUUUU